This is a small nuclear RNA of Grammomys surdaster, 103 nucleotides long. The record is from RefSeq and is a predicted model, not a curated record. Lineage: Eukaryota; Metazoa; Chordata; Mammalia; Rodentia; Muridae.
ACACACACACACACGUAUAUACUCAAAUUGGAAUGCUACUAAGAGAUUGGCAUGGCCCCUGUGCAAGGAUAACAUGCGAAUUCAUGAAGUGAUCCAUAUUUUU